UGACUUUUUAGCUUUUAAUUACUUUUAGUGUCGUAUUUAAAUGAUUUUCCUGCCUUUUAACAGGCUGUUCUGCUCCUGAAAUAAAUGGGGGAUGUGGGUGGGGAAUUAAUUGUAAAGAAAAUAGAAUUAUGUGGGUACGUGGCUGGUGACAGGUAAAGGGCAGAUUUAUCGAGGUUGAAUCCUAGCUUUUCUGCCUCCGAGCCCAGUAACCUCCAAGACGCUAAGCCUACCCGGAAAAUGGGGUUAAUAGCGGUACCUACCUCACAGGGCUGCUGCCAUAACUCACGUGAGGUUCCCAGCACAUUAUUGGGCAUCUGAUGAAUGCUCAGUUAGUAGUUUUAAUAUUAUUAACAACACUGUUUUAUUAUUUAUAAGAAAAAUGAGUCUACUAGAAAAAUCAAUCUCCUCAUUUCAUGGCUUUCCUCUGUUUUUGACUCAAACUGUUACUUUCUUGGUUGCGCAUCAGAACCAGUGCGCUAGGGGACCCCUGGUGGCUCAGGGCGUGACCCCGGGGUCCUGGGAUUGAGUCCCGCGUCGGGCUCCCCGCAGGGAGCCUGCUUCUCCCUCUGCCUCUGUGUCUCUCAUGGAUAAAUAAAAUCUUAAAAAAAAAGAAAAGAACGAGUGGGUUAGUUUUUAAAUGACUCUUUGCUGUUUUCACAAAUUCAGAAAUGCAUACAAGUCUGCAAAACUUGUGCCUACGCUAGGAAUGUUCUGUUGAGCGUGAGGCCGGCCCCUCCCAGUUCCUCUGCCAUUGGGAGCUCGGCUCCGUGGGUGCCGGGUCCCCCCAAGGGUCUUCCGAGAGGGGGUAACAGGGUUUUGAAAAUGCGAGGUGGUGUUCGUUAAAGCAAGCUCCAGCCUAUGAGGGCUGCGAUGGGGACCGUGGCCCCUUCCCCGCCGCAGGAUGUCCUGUGCGCUGCGACCGCGAGCGUCCUGGGUGGGGCGAGGGGGCCCGAGGCCGGGCUGCGGGCGCGCGGGUUCCCCGACGGCCCCGGGGUUCUUGUGGGCAAAGUCGGGCCGGGCGCGGGUCGGAGGGGACCAGGCCGCUGCCCUGCAGGUGGAGGCCCCGCCGCCAGCGCCCCCCCGACUCGGCCGCAGGAUCGUUCCGGAGAGGAAAGCGGGUCCCGGCCCAGCGUUGGGAGACGCGUGUGCCCCGCGCCCCGGAGGUGCAGGUCUCCAUCCAGCCUUCUCAUGCUGGGAUGGUUGGAUGACAGUGCAAGUGGACGAGGGUCUAGGAUCCAGACUGCUUCAGACUCCAUCACCAGCAUUUCCCCACAUGGAGCCUGCAAGACCUUCUCCAUCUUCACUCUUCCCACCUCAGUUCUGCACAGCCUUCAAGACCUUGCUCAGGUUGUGGAAUUAGCAAGUGGAGAACCAGUUGGAAGCCGACCUUCUUCUCAACGUCCUUUGAAUGCAACGCUGAUUUGGAGACCAAGGCUCGAUGGCUACGCGGGCUUACUCUUCUGACCCAGCCCCAGAGGACAUGGGAAGAGCACAAACGGUCUAAUGAACAACAGUUUCAGACACAAGCUGACCAACCGUCCUGAUGAAGUGACAGGAAGUCCACCUUGGGUUUUCCAGGUCAGAAAUAUGUGAUGCUACACAACUGCGGCACUUAGGUGACAUUUAGGAUUAGCUAAAAAACUGUUGAAAUCCUUACAUUUUUUUCCCUGCUUAAAAAAAAAAAAUCCGGAAAACAUCAAACUUUUUCUGGAAGUUGAAGUAAGGAAAUUAAUGUCAGUGACAGAAAUACAGCGAAUCUAAUUAGAAGUCCCCGGGCAGCAGCUCAUUAGUGUGGUUAGUUAGUAAAUGAAAUUUCAGCUGCAGUGAAUUAGACUAUGUGUCUUCGGUUAUUUUUUUCUAAAAAGAAUUACAAAACGUCUACAACUGNUUUUUGUUAGGGGUUUUUUUUUUUUUUUUUUUUUUUUUUUGCAAACAAAAAAUAUUUAGGGUCUUUUGUCACAAGGAAAGAAAUUGCCAUUUGGGGACAGAUUUUCUGAAAUGUCUGUAUGUUAAGCGUGGGCCAGAGAAACAAAAGGCAUUUUCUCCGGUGACGGGAGAGGCUUGCAUUUGUUUCUUAAGCUGCUCAGCUUCACGUGUGUCUUUUGUCAGACCCUUUAGUUAGUUAGUUAGUUUGUUUUACCCAUUUGUACUUAGUGAUUGGAUUUCUCUAAAAAAAAUAAAAAAAAAUCUCAGCCAGGCUGAACA
Molecule: long non-coding RNA, 2205 nt
Organism: Vulpes vulpes (red fox)
Lineage: Eukaryota; Metazoa; Chordata; Mammalia; Carnivora; Canidae
Source: Ensembl